UACGUAGGGUGCAAGCGUUAAUCGGAAUUACUGGGCGUAAAGCGUGCGCAGGCGGUGAUGUAAGACAGGUGUGAAAUCCCCGGGCUUAACCUGGGAACUGCAUUUGUGACUGCAUCGCUGGAGUGCGGGCAGAGGGGGAUGGAAUUCCGCGUGUAGCAGUGAAAUGCGUAGAUAUGCGGAGGAACACCGAUGGCGAAGGCAAUCCCCGUGGGCCUGCACUGACGCUCAUGCACGAAAGCGUGGGGGAGCAAACAGG
Molecule: ribosomal RNA, 256 nt
Filed under: uncultured bacterium
Lineage: Bacteria
Description: partial 16S ribosomal RNA
Rfam family: Bacterial small subunit ribosomal RNA
Source: RNAcentral